GAUCCUAUGUUGAGACUUGAGAAAUUGUAAUGGUCAAUAUAUUGGGGAUGGUAACAUUUUCCUAUGUUUGUUAACCAGGCAACUCAAGUAAGAGAGUUUAUAGACGGUUCUAGAAUAAGUGCCUUUCUGAUCUUGAUGCAACUAUUGCAAAUGAAAGUUCUUUUCUUGAUUGCCAUCAUGCAACUGGCUUGUUUUGCCCCCUUCUAACCUCCUUUUGGUCUAUUUCUCCAUGUAGUGCAUUCAUUAAUCCAGUUGAUGUUGAAGCGUAUUCGGAAGAAAAGAAGGAUUAUCUUAUAGUGAAUCGUUAUACUAGAGGUUCUGAUUUUCAUCGUGCAAUACUUGAGAUUGUUGCCUAUUCUAAGAAGAUAUAAGGUGAUACAGACCCUUCAUACUCUCUCGCUUUCCGAUAAAUUUAGACGAGGGAGAUUGUAAUAACAUGCUUGUACUAGUUGAAGAUAUGAAUAACUUCAGAUCAAUUUUGGCGUUUAUAAAUUUACGGGAUUAAUGUGAGAUAUUCUUGAUUUAAUUUAAUUAUGUGUUUGUCUAUACAAUUUUAUGAUGGUGUGCUUGUCAAAAAUUUGAAAUACAAGAAUUUCCAGAACUUAUGUUUCUCGGAUCAAGUAUUUUCACAUCCGUUUUCUGGUAUAGUAUUGUGGGCGAAAGGAAGCAGAUGGUACUUCUACUUGCCGAUGUUUAUAAAACCGUUCAGCUAUGUGGAUUAUAUUUCUAGCUGAAACUAAAUAUGGCUCUAGUAAUUCCUGCCUGUACUGAAAGACUAGAGUGUGGCCGUUGAAUUAAUUUAGCUUGAGAAUGCCAGAUUGAUAUGCGAUAAUUUGAUAAAAAAACAUUAGGUACAGUUCAGAUUCAUAUCUAAAAAUAUCAACAGCUUCAUGUCAAAUAGCAGAUUUCUUAGAGAGUGUAGCAACCCGAUCAUAAACUUCAUUUCACUGCAAUUGUCAUAGCCUAAAGUUCCCAUACAUUUUUUUUUUCAAAAUACUUUUGGGAAAAAAAUUAAAAUUGUGGGGUGCAAAGUUAAAUCCCACAUCUGUUGAUUUUAACGGUCAACUAAACGGAGAGUGUCAAAGGCGUGCAAAGCGAAGCGUUUUUCAAAUUUUAGGGUGCAUUCUGCCAAAAAAAAAUGUUUGAGAUCAAAUCGAAAAAGCGUCUAAACAUAAGGGGUGCAAAGUGUCAAUCACUCUUAAAUAUAUUAUUUUAGUUUGAUGAUAAAUUUGUUUCAAAAUAGUGUAUGAUUUUCUGUUGAAAUAUUAUUUUAUAAUUAAUAAAUAUGUAAAUAAGUAAUUUAUUUUAACAUAAUAGUUUUUAAUAAUAUGUUAUAGAUAUGCUAUCUUUUUUAAAUAUGUAUCUAUUUCUAUAAUUGAUUAUUGUUAAACAUUAGUCUGAAAUUUUAAUUCCAAAAAAUAUUAUAUAAAUAUAAAAAGUUACUAAAGUAACUUUUAUUUUUAUAAAAUAAGGAUAGGCAACGAAAUAGCCAAAGUCUCACUAAAUUUUAUUUUAUUUUUUUAUUUUUGCAAUAAAAGGUUUCACAAUGCAAGAUUUUUUUUUCCGGUCAGGAUCUACAUGCUCGUAGAUGAGUUGUAUCAUAGAUACAAUAACCAUAUCAGGGAUUUCUUUCAUCCAACAAAGUUUAUUAUCUAACCAAAAGAUACGCAAGUUAUCUUCGGACAUUUAGAUAAUAAUAUUUUAAACUCUGAAUAAAAAUACUCAUGGUCUCUUUCCAUCAUCCAGAAAAUCAAAACAAGCAGAGAGAAAUAUAAGCAUGAUAAUUAAAGUAGAAAAAGCAUAUAUUAUGGGAAAAAAUAAAUCUAAUAUAUAAUUUUCGACAAAAAUAUAAUAUCUUAUUCAACAAUAAAAAAUAAGAACUUAUAAAGAAUAUGAGACCGUUAUGCAAAUUUAUAAUGUCUAACCAAAGUGAAAACUUUGGUUAGACACACAAAUAUUAAAAAAAUGUGUAUUUCAUGCUAAUUUUUUCUUGUGAAAACAACCAACAUUAACAAAGAUUUUAUAUAUUUUUUUAUUAGGAAAAUAAACAAACGAAUUAAUCACACUCAAUUUAUGGACUAAAAUAUAUAAUAUAAAAAUAUAUUACUAAUAUUUAACCUUUAAAUCACAAGAUACUGACAAUAAAAAUAUACAUUAAAAUAAAUAUUUCAUAAGAAAAAUUAUAAGUUCACUAGAUAUAUUUAUGAAAAUAUUUGAUAGUUUUAUAUAAAUGAACUUAAAUAUAUAUAUAUAAAAAAUUAAGUUAAAGGCAGCAAGCUGUAAGUACAAUUUAAUACAAUGAGAAAUACUCUAUAUAAUUAUAAAUAAAAUAAUAUCUACUAGUCAUCAUUUAUGACACCAAAAUACUUCUUAAAGGUACAAUUAUAUCACCAAUUAUGACCCCCCAAAAUGGUACUCCGACUAGUUACAAGUCAUUGAACAAGCCCUAUGGCUUGACCGCCAAAAAAUGAUCCGCAAUUAUUAUUUAUCAAUCUCCACUAAAACAAAACAUCCAAAUUCACAAAUUAUAUGUAAUUAAAAAUCAUUGAUAAAUAAUAAAAAAAAUUAUAUGAUAUUUAUAACACAUUUGAGCUAUAAAAAAUUGUUAUAAGAUAUGUAGCUAUAAAUAAUUAACAACAUUUAUUUAAAAAAUUCCAAAAUUUGAAUCUUAGAAAAUUAAUAAAAGUAAUCAAUUUCGAGAAAUAUAACUGAUUAUAACCUAUAUCAUUUAAGAAUAGUUGACCACAUUCUUUAAUAUACAAACAAGACAUUUAAGACCAUUAAAAACACAUUUAAGACUUAUUAAUCAAAAUCAAUUUCUUACCAAAAGAAUAAUUAUUAGCAUAAAUUGAAAAAUUCUAAUUUUAGUUUUUUUAAAAACAUAAAAGAUAUGAAAAUUGGAACAAGAUUUUCAUGAUCCUUAAUAAUCUAAUCUGAAAAGUACGAUGAACAAAAUUUGAAUAAAGAAACAUAUCAAGAAAUCAAGAAAACGCACAAACUAAUACAUUUUAUGAACUCGAUCAAUAAAAAUAUUGUGACUUGUCACGAAAGAACAAGAAAUUCAAUGAAAAUUUUCUGAACAAAGACUAUAGAGGCAUCACGAGCAAAAUAAUUAUACGUCUCAAUUUCAAUAAUCCUUAAAAAUACACCUCCAUGCACACUAAAUCAAGAAGAUCUACACAAAAACGAAGAAACGAUCCAAGACUAAUUUGUCAACAAAACAGAUUCACGAGAAAAUUUGAAAAGAUGGUUCGUAAGAAAAAUGAUACAUCUAUACUAUACUAUUAAAGACGAAACAUUAAAAGUUUGGUCGGUCGGUACUUGGACCAAAAUAUGGGCCUAUCUAUAUAAUCAAUUAUUCUGGACCUAUUUAUAUAAAUAAUUAUUCUUUUUUAAUUUGGGCCAAAGUACGGGCCUAUCUAUAUAACCAAUUAAUAAUCCUUUUAAAGCCGAAACAUUAAAAGUUUGUUAGUUCAGUACUUGGAUCAAAAUAUGGGCCUAUCUAUAUAACCAAUUAUUCUGGGUCUAUCUAUAUAACCAAUUAUUCUUUUUAAUUUGGGCCAUAGUACGGGCCUAUCUAUAUAACCAGAUAAUCCUUUUAAUUGAAAUAUAUUACUUUUUUAUAUUUUUGACUAAAAAACUCAAUCUUCUAAAAUAACAUUGAGAAACAUGGUAAUUACCUUUUUAACUAAAAUAUAUUAUCUUUUUAUAAAUUUUCCAACUAAAAAAUUAAUCUUUUAUAAUUAAUACGGACAUGGGCGACAUAUUUAUACGUAAAUAUGUGUGCCAAAAGUCUAAAAAUCAAAUAAUAAAAAAUAGAGGGAGUAUUAUUAUAUUGGUCGGGCAGUCUGUACUUGAGCCGAAGUACGGGCCUAUCUAUAUGUAUAACCAAUUAUUCUUUUUAAAUAAAAUAAAUUAUGUUUUAUAUAUAUUUUAGAUAAAAAAAACUCAAUCUUCUAAAAUAAUAUCGAGCAACAUAGUAAUUGUCUUUUUAAUCAAAACGCUUUAUCUUUUUAGAUUUUCUAACUAAAAAAACUGAGUUUUUACAAUUAACACGGGCGCCACAUAUAUAAAAAUAUAACAUCAUUAAACAUAAUUAUUAAUAAAUAACAUGUGAUAUUAUUCAACCAAAAUACAUUAAUAACAUUAUUUAUAAAUACUCUAAUGAUCUCAUAUUAAAAGAAAUAUUACAAAUCUGUCAUAUACUAUAUAUUAUUACACUAUUAAAGCCGAAUAUAAAAAUUCACUUGGUUGGUCAGUUAGUUGAGUUUGGUGAAUCGUUUGGUAUUCGACCACGGAGCUCUUAAAUUUAUAACAUUUUAUAAUAUAUUUUUUAUUAUCAAUUAAACCAAAAUAUUAAAUUUAGGUUAGUAUGAUGGGGAGGUAUGUGGUUUCAGGCGUAUGUUUUAUACCAUAUUAUUAAUUAUUAUUAACGAAAUAUCAAAGGUUGAUUGGUUAGUUUAUAUCUGAGUUUAUAGGCCACCUUAAAUUAUAACAUGUAAAAGAAAAUAUUUUGACAUUCUCAUUAAAAUAUAUAUGUUCGACCUAAUUUUCAAUUAGCCAUUUGACGGACUUAACUAUGAAGAAUUUAUCCAACUGUUAAAUAAAACAUUUAUUAAACCACGUUAUUUUAUCAUAAUUUUAUUUUUACAAUAAAAUUAGGUAACUUUAAAAUAUAUAUAAUAAAAUAACCAAUAAUUAAACCGCCCGUGCAUUCCACGGGUUAUAAGCUAAUAUUAAAUUAUGAACAAAGAUAAGAAAAAUAUACAAGUUUGACGAUAAAUCAUAGACAUGCAAGAAUAUUUCUUGAUAUAAUAUUUGGUAUAGAUUAGUUGAAUUGGUUGCAAAGAUAUGUAAUUUACACCAUCUUGAUACAUAAGUUCGUAUAAAAGCUCAUGUGAAUUAAGAAUAUACAUUAAUUAUUAAAAGAUUGAUUUCUAAUAUUCUCUCAAAAAUAUAAAUCUAAUUUGAGAUUUUGUGAUGUUACAAGAAAAAAAUAAUAUGUUUUCAAAGUACAAAUUUUAUCAGAUAUAUAUUAAAACUCAAAAUUUAAAUUAAUAACUAAAUUAAGUCACACUUAUUCGAUAUUCUUAUAUUUAAAAUUUUAAUAAUUAAUAAAUUCUACAUCUAAUUAAACGCACGCCCCAGUUUUGUUUCAAUUAAUGCUACUCUUUACAUUAUUAGUUUAACCAAAAUUAAAUUCUUUGUUGAAGAUACGGCCAACUUGAUUAAUUUUCUGUUUUGGCCUUAUUUUAUAAGCCAAUUUCAAAUUGGAUUCAUACCUGUAUCAAUAAUCAAUGAUAUAUAAAGAUGAUACAUUAAUAUAAUGUAAAGACAUGAUAUACUUAAUCAUAUCUCUUAAUAUGUCCGUGUAGUUAUUUAAUACAUGAAAUAAGUAGCAAAUCCCAUAUAGAUAUAAAAACCGAUACGCGUAAAAUUAAUGUAUAAAAUAAGUAGCAGAUCAUAUAGAUAUCAAGGCGGAUAUGCAUUAAAUUAAAUUAAUAUUAAAUUUUAUUUAGAAAAUGAGAAAUAAAAUAUAUAAUAAAAAGGAUGCGUGUACUUUUUCGACACGGACUGUCAUCAUGCAGACUAAACAGAUACUCCAUACAAAUAAAAGUUAAGAAUUUAAGACAUUUUAUUUAUAUGGGUGUUCCAACUUCUAGUAGUGUCUUAAAAUACCGGGACAUUGAUCAAGUGGCUAGUUUCUAUGGUCAAGUGCCUCGUUUUUAAGGUAUUACUAAGCAAAUGCUGAGACAUGAUAUGCUUCAUCAUAUUUCUUGAUAUGUCCAUAUAGUUAAUUAAUACAUGAAAUAAGUAGCAAAUCUUAUAAAUAUAAAAGCGGAUACGUGUAAAAUUAAUAUAUGAAAUAAGUAACAGAUCAUAUAUUAAGGCGGAUAUGUAUUAAAUGAAUACUAGAUUUUAUAUUUAGAAAAUGAGAGAUAAAAUAUAUAACAAAAGGUGUGUGUACUUCUUCGACAAAGCUGUAAAUAAAAGUUAAGAAUUUAAGACGAGCGUUCCAACUUCUAAUGAUGUUUUAAAAUACUAGGACAUUGAUCAAGUGUCUCGUUUCCAAGGUCAAGUGCCUCGUUUUUAAGCUAUCACUAAGCACGUCAUAUUUCACUUUUAUCAAUCAAAAAUUAAUGUCUCUCACCUUUUACACAUCUCUUCUCAUUUUUCCCUUCUCUCUGAUUAUAAUUCAAAUUAAUACUGUAUUAAUUAUAAGACAUAUUAUUAAAGUUCAUAUACGAAAAUCAUCCAUUAAAUCAAAUGAAUACUAUAUUUUAUUAUAUUUAUAAGACAUCUGGUUAGACAUUAUGAACUUGCUCUCACUAAGAUAAAAAUAUUAUUGAAUAACGAUAUAGGUACUCUGAAAUAAAUAAUUAGCAUUUUGGGAAAUUUUUUAUAAUUUAUGUAUGUGAAGUUUCACUUAUGAUUUAUCAAUAUUAUAUUAUUUUGGUUCAAGUGUAUAUGAAUUAUUGUUAAUAUUAUUUGUAUUAUUAUAUCUAAUGUCUAUUUCUAAAUAUUAAUAUUUUAUAGUAAUUAAUGUUAUAACAUUUACACUCAUGCCAUUUUUUAAGAAAUCAUUAUGAUUGAUGUGUGCAUAUAUAAUUUUAUUUAAUAUUUUUAUCAAUACAAUUAUACUUAUUUAUUCUUUUACAAUAAGUUCUUAUUUAUAAUUUUAUUUAAAUUAAUAAUUAAAUUAAAUCACACUUAUUUGAUAUUCUUAUAUUUAUAUUUUUAAUAAUUAAUAAAUUUUAUAUCGAGUUAAACGCAUGCCACAAUUUUGUUUCAAUUAAUGCUACUCUUCACAUUGUUGGUUAUAACCAAAACCAAAUUCUUUGCAGAAGAUACGACCAACUUGAUUAAUAUUCUCUUUUGACCUUAUUUUAUAAGCCAAUUUCGAAUUGGAUUCAUACCUGUAUACAUCAAUAAUCAAUAAUAUAUAAAGACAAUAUAUUAAUAUAAUGUAAAGACAUGAUAUGCUUCAUCAUAUCUCUUGAGAUGUCCGUGUAGUUAUUUAAUACAUGAAAUAAAUAGCAAAUCCUAUAUAGAUGUAAAAGUCGAAACGCGUAAAAUUAAUAUAUGAAAUAAGUAACGGAUCAUAUAGAUAUUAAGGCGGAUAUGCAUUAAAUGAAUCCGAGAUUUUAUUUAGAAAAUGAGAGAUAGACUAUAUAAUAAAAGGGAUGUGUGUACUUCUUUGAUACGGGCUGUUAUACACACUUCUUCGACACGGGCUGUUAUCGUGCAGACUAAACAAAUACUCCAUACAAAUAAUAGUUAAAGAAUUUAAGACAGUUUAUUUAUAUGGGUGUUCCAACUAGUAGUGUCUUAAAAUACUAGGACAUUGAUCAAGUAUCUCGUUUCUAAGGUCAAGUGCUACGUUUUUAAGGUAUUACUAAGCAAAUGUAGAUAUGGUUCAUCAUAUCUCUUGAAAUGUCCAUGCAGUUAUUUAAUUCAUGAAAUAAGUAGCAAAUCCUAUAGAGAUAAAAGCAAAUACGCAGAUACGCGUAAAAUUAAUAUAUGAAAUAAGUAACUGAUCAUAUAGAUAUUAAGACGGAUAUGCAUUAAAUGAAUACUAGAUUUUAUAUUUAGAAAAUGAGAGAUAAAAUAUAUAACAAAAGGGAUGUGUGUACUUCUUUGACACGGGCUGUUAUCCUGCAAACUAAGCAGAUACUCAUACAAAUAAAAGUUAAGAAUUUAAGACAUUUUAUUUAGAUGAGUGUCCAACUUCUAGUGGUAUCUUAAAAUACUUGGACAUUUGAUCAAGUGUCUCGUUUCUAAGGUGCCUCGUUUUUAAGGUAUCACUAAGCACAUCAUAUUUCACUUCCAUCAAUCAAAAAUUAAUGUCCUCACCUUUUACACAUCUCUUCUCAUUUUUCCCUUCUCUCCAAUUAUAAUUCAAAUUAAUAUUAUAUUAAUUGUAAUACACAAUUAUAAAACAUAUUAUUAGAGUUCAUAUACGAAAAUCAUACGUUAAAUCAAUAGAAUAUUAUAUUUUAUUAUAUUUAUAAGACAUCUGGUAGGACAUUGUGCUCUCACUAAGAUAAAAAUAUCAUUGAAUAACGAUUUAGGUACUCUGAAAUAAAUAAUUAGCAUUUUGAGAAUUUUUUUAUAAUUUAUGUAUGUGAAGUUUCACUUAUAAUUUAUCAAUAUUAUAAUAUGUUGGUUCAUGUGCAUAUGAAUUAUUGUUAAUACUAUUUGUAUUAUUAUAUCUAAUAUUAAAUGUUAAUUUUAUAGUAAUUAAUGUUAUAACAUUUACACUUAUGCCAUUUUUUAAGAAAUCAUUAUAAUUGAUGUGUGUGUAUAUAAUUAUAUUUAAUAUUAUUAUUAAUACAAUUAUACUUAUUUAUUCUUUUACAAUAAGUUCUUUUUAGCGCCGCGCGAGCGUAUUAUUUUUAUAGUUUUUUAAUAUAGUUAUAAUUAUGUUUAAAUAUAUUUUACAUAAAUAAGUUAUUUCAUCAUAUUACAUGAAAUUUUGUAAGAAAAGUGAAUACAAUUGUAAUUACAUAAUCCAGAUCAAACACAUAUAUUCCAAUUCCAAUAUAUUGCUGUAAUCAUAAAACCGGCCGCCCAACUUAAUUUACUUAUCUUUGAACUUUAAAAAAUUAAAGAUUUUACAAGCCCAAAUUGCAAGGCCCUAAUACCUAAGGCCCAACUUCUUGGCCCAAAAUCCACAUUUCUCCCUCGAAAUACAAUACAUGCAUAUAUACACACUCACUCUCUUAUUUCACGCCCAUAUUCUCAUACAGAUACUCACAAUUUACAAAAACCCAAAGAAUUCUCUUAAUAAAAUUAGGGUUUUGGAGCUUCUAAGCCCCCAAUUGUUCUGAUUAAAUUAGGGUUUUCACAAAUUCAUUUCAUUUUCAGGCGCCCAUUGCCUGAUUAUGCACUGAUCACAUAGCCACAACACAGUCAUCUCCAAACCGGCGAAUUUUUCGGUUGUUUUUUUGGUAAAGAUCGCACCUUUAAGUUGUUUUGUGUCUUGAAUUGUACUUAACUAAGCUUAAUUUCAUUGAAUUGUGUGCUAGUGUUGGCUUCUUGAUGGGUCGAAGAAAAGGUUCGAAAAACCGUAAGCGGCAAUGGAGAGUCGGUGAUCCUGUGCUUGCCAAACUUACGGGCUUUCCGUCUUGGCCUGCGAAGGUAUAUGUGUAAAUUGUGUUUUUUUUGUGUGUUUUUGUGUAUAAAGAUGCUGGCUUUAUUGUAAACAUGUGUUUAAAUUGUGUGUUUCUAUGUGUGAAGAUGUGAAUUUUGUUGUUAAGAUGUUAACUUUUUCGUAAAUGCGUGAGCUUUAGUGUCAAGAUGGGGAAUUUAGUUGAAUUGUGUUGUUUAGGGUAUGUUUGGAUCAGGGUUUGGUUUUAAGUUUUAAUUUACUGUUUAUGGAUUUGGCGGGGAGGUUUAGGGUGUGUUGUUCUAUUUGGUUUUUGGUGGUGUGUGAAUUUUUAUGGUGUUUGGUUUCAGGGGGAUGGAACUAGGGUUGUUUAUGGAUCUGGCGGGGAGGUUUAGGAUGUGUUUUUUUAUUCGGUUUUUAGUGUUAUUUGAAUUGUUUAUGUUGUUUAGUUUUAGGGGGUAGGGUUUUUUAUGGAUUUCGCGGGGAGGUUGAUGAUGUGUUUUUUUUUGUUUUUGUUUUUUGCGGUACGUGAAUUGUCAUAAAUGCCAUAUAUGUUUUUACUAUUAUGUGGCUGGUGGCGCUUCUAAGAGAACUGCGUAGUGGUUUGUGACAUUGUAUGAGCGAUUUGGUAAAUCGGCAAGCAAUUAUGGACUCUAAUAAAUUAAACUUUUUCGAAGAGGUAAUUAAAGAUUCGAACUUUAAAAGCGGAAAAAGAAAUGGUAGGCGGAAGCUUGCGAUACAGAAGGCUAGGUAUUAAAUGUCAGUAAAAUGUUGCUGUUAAUUGGGCGAACGCAUUUUUCUCGUGUGCAAGCGUCAUAUGAUGCUCUUUACAUCAUAACAUACGUCGAGGAAGUGACAUGCCUCAAGCACAUGGGAUAAAUAUUGUAUGACUAACGAAAUUCAAAGCUCAUAACUAGUUGGUUGCUUUUGGUAGGUUGAGGCGCCGGAGAAGUAUGGUUUUCCAGUGGACUCUAAAAAGGUGUUGGUGCUUUUCUUCGGCACCCAGCAAAUGUAAGUCACCGUGGCCACCCCUAGAGUACUAUCUUUUAUGUCAUCAUUGAAAUAGCUUCACAAGUAAGCUUUGAUUCUUGUCUAUAAAGGGAAAUUUCCUGUGUCUCACGAGUUUUUCAUAUGUGUACAAAUUCAUCUACCCAUAUCAUAGAAUACAUAUGUUGAAAUGAUCUUUAUUAGGCCCACUUGUAAUUAUCGUGCCAACCAACAUAAAGGGGUGAUUAAGGUAGCUCUGAAGUACAGGUCAGGAAAAAAUUAACGGAGGUUCUUAAUCUUAAACACCUACACUACAGGCAACUUAAGGAUCCUAUGUUGAGACUUGAGAAAUUGUAAUGAUCAAUAUAUAGGGGAUGGGUAACAUUUUCCUCUGUUUGUUAACCAGGCAACUUAAGUAAGAGGGUUUAUAGACGGGUCUAGAAUAAGUGCCUUUCUGAUCUUCUCUGGAUAUGCAACUAUUGCAAAUGAAAGUUCUUUUCUUGAUUGCCAUCAUACAACUGGCUUGUUUUGCCCCCUUCUAACCUCUUUUUGGUCUAUUU
This 10656-nucleotide long non-coding RNA is filed under the name Daucus carota (carrot). RNAcentral describes it as "long non-coding RNA (DCAR_LNC002558)". Lineage: Eukaryota; Viridiplantae; Streptophyta; Magnoliopsida; Apiales; Apiaceae. The record is from RNAcentral.